GUACCCCUUCGUGAAAAAAAAAUCCCAUAUGUCCCUCCCUUGCUCUUCUGUCUCUCUCACCCUGUCCCUCUCACCUCGCCAGCGCCAUCAGCCCGGCCACCUCCUCCAGCCGAGCUCCGUCAGCGUCUGGCCGCGCGCCACCUUGCCUGCCCGAUCUUUGCCAGCGCCUCCCCUUUCUCCUCUGUCGCUCUCUUGGUCUCUCCCCUAUCCAUCUCAGCUCGCCAGCGCCAGCCACCUCCUCCAGACGAGCUCCGCUGUUGUCCGGCCGCGCGCUGCCUCGCCUGCCCGAGCUCCGCCGGUGCCUUCCCUUUCUCGUAUGUCGUUGUUCCUGCUCUGAAGUCUUCGGCGUCGCCGCUGCACAUACUCCGAUGGCCGCGCGCCGCUACUCGAGUUCGGGAGUCCCCGCGGGGGGAGACUGGUUGAGUCCUGAGUUUUCAGGCAGGCCAACCUGGCCGACCUGCUCUCGUUGUCCUCCAACGAGGAGGUUGAUGAGGACGCCAUGAUGGAGCUCGGCGAGGCGGAUCUUUUCACAACGGAGCAGCAAGAACAGGCAGCAAUCGCCAAAUCACGCCUGCCGCCGCCGUUCCUCGAUUCCACAAAGGUCAAGGAGGAUGCGAGUGCCCUUCUUCUUGCUCCUCCUCCUGUUACUGGCCGUCGGUUCAGAUGCCGUGCCCUGAGACAGGAGGCUUCUCAGGGAUUAUGGCGGCUCGCCCCAGGCCCAGCACCCCAAUCACGAUGCUCCAAGGAAGAGAUAUAUCAGGAUUCCUAACUCCACGAUAACAAGUACCAAAGGACGCUCGGCUCCGGGAUCCACGCGCUCGUCCCCGUCGUCGACCGCAUCGCCUACGUGCACUCGCUCAAGGAGGAGGCCAUUCCCAUGCCCGACCAGUCGAGAGCGGAGGCUGUACCGCUAACGCGAUCUCGCCCUAUCGUGCGUAACGUCCGAUCCUUCGUGGGGAUGUGUGCCAGUAAUGCUCAAAUAGGUCCGAAAUCCUUUAGACUGAAUUAACGUGUCCCGUCCAAGGUUAGCUCUGCAGGCCCGUGGGUCCAUCUGAUUAGACAUGGCCCAUGCUUUUCACAGAGGACUGACAAGUAUUGUUUUAUUACAGAUAAAGGAGAGAGAGAGAGCCACAGACCGGGACAAAUAUCUCUUCUUCUUCCUCCAGAUCUCAGUCUGGAACUCACGUCCUCUCUUUUCUCCACUGUAAUUUCUUCAAGAUUGUUCUUCUUUCUCUCGAUGCUGAUGUUCUGUACGAUUUCGUGAAUCAAGAGAAGUACUGUGCAUGGACAGUCCAUGGACGUACGCGGACCAGUACAUCUUCGGUCUCAUGGAUUCAAAUUUGUAGCACUCGUCUAUUUUCGUUUGAAGAUUAUUUUGUACAUCGACCAUUGUUUGUAGAUCGAUGGAACCAGGGGUACCAGAUGGUUGUUCUUCAUCCUGCAGCGCAGCUCCUGGCAGAAAUGUCGGUGGCGGAGGAACUGAUGGGGGAGAUUACAGUGUACAACUUCCUGAAGGAUCGGUGGAAGUUUGGAGUGGUUUUUCCGCCUCAUCUAAAAGAUUCUUCAGUUGAAAUUCUUGGUGUCAGGGUGUACCAAAGAAGGAAGUUCACAGGGAAAACGUACGGGAGCAAAGCAUAGAAGCAGCAAGAAGAAAUGCAAGAUCCGGAGAUGAGUGAAGGAGCGAGUACUUUCUAAAGACCGGAAGGAACAUGAUACAUUCUGCAUGAUAUGUGGAACGAAGGAUAUAUUUUUGUUUAAUGGUACUUACAUUCUGGGAUGAUUGAAACUAUGGUUGGUCAGUUGAACUUAUUUUGUAGUACGUAAGUACUGUAUGGAUGAUCGCACCAUAGACUUAAGUUGGGGUAUGUAAGAACUAUAUGGAUGAUUGAAGUCUAUUCUGAACAAUUAUGCAGGGAAGUACUUUAGGUAUAUAUGGUCCAUGAGUUUGUUGACGAUCAUAUGCAUUGUAGUAUGUACAUAAUUGUACAUGCUUUUCAUGCAAGAACGUCUUGCACUGUCAUGACGUGUAUGUUGUGGCUGAAAACACCUUUGCGACCGGUGCGAUGCGACCUUAAUUACAAGUGGUCCUUUCUGUAUUGUUGGAUGACCUAAGCUAAUCGCAAACAAAACCUGAGUUAUGGUUGUUUGGUUCAUGUCUUCAGACUCAACACCCGGGGACACAGUCGAGUAGAAGAGUUAUUGGGAAGAAGGUCGCGUGAGGAAUCAGCACAUUAGUCACAGGAGUUAGAACAGGAUUCAUCUAAUUAUGUAAGAAGUAAAGUACAUGGAAGAACAAUAUUGUACACAACAACAAAGUCAGAUGUAGUUAAUUUAUACCGAACAAGAAGAAGGUACAUAGUACUUUCAUAUGUACCUUAUACUAAAUCCAUGGUCUUAUAUGGAAGAACACAAAGAGAGCUGAAGUUAAA
This is a long non-coding RNA of Brachypodium distachyon (stiff brome), 2429 nucleotides long. RefSeq lists it as uncharacterized. NCBI's taxonomy places the organism in Eukaryota, Viridiplantae, Streptophyta, Magnoliopsida, Poales, Poaceae. The transcript is spliced from 5 exons. The record is from RefSeq and is a predicted model, not a curated record.